CUCCUUCCCUCCCUCCCUCCUCUCAGCGACCGAGAAUGCCCGUGUUGUACUGACACAGUAGCGAUACGGGCUGAGCAGACAUGGAGGCCCGAUUGACGAGAGAGGCCCGCGCUGACACAUCCAGGCCCAGCUAACGGUGUGUCGGAGUGGAUUUCGGAGCAUCUCGGGAGAUAUUACGGAUACCAGUCGCCGUGACGAAAAAAGGAUUUAGGCACCGAGGAAGAAGAAAUAAGAGGGAGAUCCAUUUCGGGUCUCUGUUGAUUCAACGCAGCCGCCAUUUUGUUGACACUGUUGGAAGAUUAUUUUAAUAAAAGGGGGGGAAAUGUGGCCACCACGUUGAUACACAAGAAGACAGGACACAGCCAAAUAAUGUGAACACCGUUUCUGGACUAUUUCAGAGUUGAAGGACGGAGAAAUAGGGCUGGACAGCCGAGGAAGGGAGAGAAGCCCCCAAAGCAAGGAGAGCUUCACCCUCACCGUUAUCCCCCUCCCCCUUUCCCCCCUUCACCCUUAUCCCAUCCCUAGACAAAAACUCUACCUGGUAUCCACAUUAACCACUCCUUAAACUCCAUAAACUUGUACCCCCCCAAACAAUCUAAUGGAUCAGAAGAUUCAAGGGAGGACUGCAACUCCACCCCCUCUCCUGUCCGGUGCUCCCACAGGGGAGCGAGAGAAGGAGGGAGCGGGUGGGAAGAAAGAAGAAGAGGAGGAAAAAAAGAGGGACAGAGAGAAGGAGGGAACCCCCACCGCAUCUGCUGGUGCAGGAGGCACAGGUGGGCCAGGAGGUGCCGGUGGUGACCAGUCCCAUUUCUCCAUCAAAGAGAGCAGCCUGUCCGAGGGCAAUGUCAAACUGAAGAUUGGCCUCCAGGCGAAACGCAUGAAGAAGCCUCCUAAGAUCCUGGAGAACUAUGUGUGCCGACCGGCUUUCAGAGCCACUGUGAGGCAUACGGGUCGUGGAGGAGGUAAUGCCCGUGGAAACCGUGCAGGCGCCACGGGUGACGGGGCGGGCACUCAGAGCCAGAGUCCUUCACAGGGCAGAGAAAAAGAGAGGGAAAAGAGUCCCAGUGUAAACAGACCACCCAUCUCAUCAUCUUCAACAGCCCCAACUGCUAAAGCUCCCACACCACCUCCUCUAGCUCCUCCUCCUGCUAGCACUUCCACCCUGACACCCUCCCAAAUGAAUGGGAACGCGCCGGCAAAAAAGGGUCCACCAAAGAUGGAUUGCAAGUCUGAUUCAAAGUCAGACACAAAAGCAGCUACCACCACAUCUGAGAGACCACUUAACCUUCACCGCCCUCCACCAGACAGCAAAACGCAUUCCUCUGGGAAGAAAGCGCCAGCUCCGCAACCCAACCCCCGGACAUCUUCACCAUCUCCGCCAUUAUCUUUAACGAAAGAACCCAGCCUUGAAGGUGUUAAGCCUCCUCAAUGUACCUACAGCACAGACAGUCAAAGAGAUAAGGACAAAGGUCUUCAGAGUUGGGGAGCGCCAACCGUCACUGAAAAAUUAGCUCAGCUAAUAGCAACUUGUCCACCAUCCAAGACCCCUAAGCCAGCCAAACCUGCAAAGAUUGAUCCCAGCCCUGCUCUUCCGAGCUCAGGCUUUAUGGCCCCUACAGCCAAGCAACGAGACAGAGCUUUGGCCAAUAGGAACACAUAUUCAAGAAUGGUUCACCUUUCUCCUCCACCUCCUGUGUCAAGACCACCUGGUCGGCCAUAUGGGUCUAGAAGCAAAGACAGUAUUUUAGAAAAUUCAACCACCCUGACGCCGCUGAGGAACGAGGACUUGGAUGGGACUGGGAAAGCUGCUAGCAGCAAUGGAAACAACAGUAUCAGCAUGAGCAGCACCAACAGCAGUAGUCGCAGCAACAGCCCAGCAUUCACCUAUGGCAAUAACCGCCUGACAGUCCUGUCAAAUGAAAGCAACAGUGACAGCAGCAACAGUAGCAUUUCUAAGCAACCGUUACACCCUGCUCACUCCUUACCCCAUACCACGUCACCUUCAUUGUGUCCAAUUUCAUCAUCUUCAUCAUCAUCGGUGGAGCAGAGGACGGUGAGUGCAGUGAGUCACCUGGGCUCCCCUGUUCCCUCACAAGGACACCAUGCACGAGAGUCUCCUGCCCUCGCAGAGGAAAGCAGUGCAGGUGAGCGAGAGCAAGACAGGGACAUCCCCAGAGACUUAUCUAAGUGCCCCCCUUCAGCAGCAACUGGAAGGCCAGAAGGGAAAGAGAAAGGGGGAAGCAACCAGUCAGUACGAGUUGAGAGGGGAAAAAGUUCUAGUCCAAGUAAACGUAGUCCCAACCAGGAUAGUAACCGACCCAGUUGGACUAGCAGUCCCCCUGAGUCUAUUAGACAAAGGACACCUUCACCACUGGAGCCAGAUGAUGACGAUGAUGAUGAUGAUGAUGAUGACGAUGAUGAUGAUGAAGAAAGCCCACAGACGCCUCUCAGAGAUGACUCUCCUGAUUCAUCCCUAGACUCUCCAGCAGAGCAGGACAGCAAACCCCUUAAAAAGCGCAGGGGAAGAAAACCCCGCUGGACACGUGUUAUGCUAAAGGCCCAAAGUCAGAGAAGCCUGGACAGUCUCUUCACUGAGAACAAAACCACCAUGCCUUUAUCUUCAAGCCUGGAAACUCCAACGCCACCAGUUAAAAGACCCGUAGGCAGGCCCCCGAAUCCAAAUAAGGUCAAACCAAAUCCUGUGUCACAAAAUUCAGUGUCACAGCUCUUCCCACCCCAGCCUAAAAAAAGAGGAAGGCCAAAGUCUAAAAUGCCAAGGCUUGAUGCACCGGCCCGUGGGAAUCCCCCUAACAAGCUACAACCCUCUAAGGUCUUUUCAUCUUUGUUGAAGUCCAAAGAAGAACAGGACCCACCUGUUCUUCACCCAGAGGUAGACUUAAACCCUCCUAAACCUAUGCCUAGGAAACGUGGGCGCCCCAAGCGCCUUCCUCCUACUUUACCGCAGGAGGGUCAGCCUCCCACGUUGGCUCCAGAAGCAGGGGAAAGAUUCCGCAACAAAGGAAACGGGCAGCUUAUCAUGAAAACUAUUAUUGGCAAGAUCAAUAAGAUGAAAAGCGUUAAGCGGAAGCGUAUUCUCAGUCAAAUCCUUUUAGGCCCAAGGUCAGAAGACACCCCUAAAGGCACCACUAGUAGCAUGGCUGCAACAGCAGAAGCUGCAACGCAGUCAUUGUCAUCCCUAGCUGCUUCUUUUGGAGGAAAACUAGGGCCUCAAAUUAAUGUCAGUAAAAAGGGCACAAUAUACAUGGGUAAAAGGAGAGGCCGUAAACCAAAAGCAGCAACUAAUGUCUCAGCUACAAUGUCACCUUCAGAAACCUUUAUAUCUCCAAACACCACUUCCCCUCUUCAUCCCCAUCAGUCACAGUCCCAUCAGCAGCACCAGCUCUCCUCAGAGGUUUUUUCCUCACCCUCCCUCUCACAGUUAAGUGGAGGCCACAGUCCCAUCAGCGAUGGUAGCUUUGUGGAGCCAGGCUCAGUGCACUUCGCAGGUCACUCUCACUAUUCCAACUCUCAUCAUAGCCAUAACACGUUUUCGCUUCCUCCUCCAACCUUUUCAGCUCCUAAUCCUCGCAACCCAAUCAUGGGCUCGAUGUCAUCGUCUGGUGUCCCAGUAGCCUCCCAGAAAAAGUCAUCUUGCCGUGGAUAUCAUCACCACCAUCACCAUUAUAGGCAGCACUACCAUUAUCAUAAGCUUUCCCCUCCCAGGCCACUCCAUCCCACCUCCCCUGCCCCUCUGAGUGAGCUAAAAGAAGCCACGCCAUCACCAGUCAGUGAGUCACACAGCGAGGAGACGGUGCCCAGUGACAGUGGUAUAGGGACAGACAAUAACAGCACCUCUGACCGUGGUGAGAAAGCUGGAGGAGCAGGUGGUUUGGGUGCAAUUGGCAUCCCACCUGGGAUGGGCGGUGGAUUAUUAAUGCCAGGGGUCAUGGGUUCAGCUAUGGGUCCAGGGAUGGGCAUUAACUCAAGGGGCAGGCGUCGACACAGCAAUGUACUUAUGGAACAUCCUUCACCGUCUCCAUCACCCCAUGGGACAAGGUCAUCGCCUGAUCCCCGAAGACCUCACCCAGCAGCUCCCGCCACAACAUUAGUGGGACACAAGGAGAAACAUAAGCACAAAUGCAAACGCCGAAGCCAUGGCUGCCCCGGCUAUGACAAGCUAAAGAGGCAGAAGAGGAAACGCAAGAAGAAGUACUUACAGCUACGCUCCCGACGGCUCGACCCAGACUUCCUCGCUGAGCUGGACGAGAUUGUUGUGCGACUAAGUGAAAUACGCAUAACUCACCGCACCACAGGGCACCGGCUCGGAAGCGGAAUAGGGAUAGCAGCGGGAUCAAGUAGAGUGCCAGGGGUGGGUGGCAGGGCUGCUGGCGCCAUAGGAGGCACAGGUGGCCCUCCUCCGCAUCAUUAUGUUCACAGAGACCUCCUGCCUACAAUCUUCAGGGUUAACUUUGGCAGCUUCUACUCUCAUCCACCAUACUCCUGUGACCCGUUGCACUAUGUUCGUAAACCGGAUAUGAAGAAGAAACGUGGACGGCCUCCCAAACUGAGGGAGUCUAUGUCUGAGGUUCCAUUUGUACCUGGACUUGGAUUCCCCCUUUCAAGUGGAGGCUUCUACCACCCCUCCUAUGUUCCUUACUCAUCAGGACCUCUGGGGUUGGGCUAUUACAGAGGUUAUCCUCCAGCAAGUGCGCUGUAUCCCCACCCACACCACCAGUCACCCCAUACAGCCCCAUCACAUCACACUCACCACUCACCGUCUUUCCCACCUCCCCCCACAUCUUUCUUACAUCACCACCACCCUUCACAUCUCCUGCUGAACCACUCAAAGUUUCACAAGAAAAAACACAAGCUGCUAAGGCAGGAGUACCUGGGAGCAGGACGGCCUCCUGUCCUAUACCCACCCAUGUCCUCUGAGCUCUCCUUCAACUGGCACCACAAACAUAAACACAGACACAAACACAGAGAACGCUGUGCUGAGGAUGACAGGGAGGAAGCAGCAAGAGGUGGAUCAGGGAGCCGAGCUAGUGCAGGGAUUUCAGACAGUGGAACAUCUGGGAAAGGAGAGCGAGUUAGUGGUUUGGGAAUGGCAGAGGCUUUACAGCGAUGCCGCUUUGGACGAGACACCUCCAGCACCAGUGCCAGCAAGCUAGCUGCCACUACCUCUGCUAACUCCCCCUCUUCUUCCUCAUCCUCAUCUGCUGAAAGGUACAAGCGCAAAGAGAGCUCCAUGUCCUGUCUAGGACCUUCAAGGCUUGCAUUGGGCAACAGCUCAAAGGGCCACUCAGCUGAGUCCUGGUUCAGGAUAGGCAACUCUGAAGCAGACUACUCAAAGCUGUCACGGAGUCAAUUGGCUCCUGGCCAGGGUUCCUUCUCAGACGGACGGGCAGAAGACCCAGCGGGCUGCUCGGACAGUGAGGAUGAGGAGCCUCUCACUCCCACAGAGGAUGUAGAAACCCACGAUUCUCCAAAGCGUACAAAUCUGUUUGCUUCAGCAAUCACCCGCACUUCACUGAAAGGAGGCAGGAGCAGAAAGACUGAUGUAGUUACAGAGACUUCCAGCUUCUCUCACAUGGACCGGCCAAUGAGGAAGGAACACUCAACAUCAGCAGAGAGGAGAGAGUUGGGGUCAUCAGGUAUCCAGACAAGGGGUGUUGCACUCCCAACCUCAGAAGAACCUGAAGGAUCCCUGCACCACCGCCAACAGCACCAUCAUCAGUCUUCUCUGUUUCACUCCCACAGCUCAACCUCCUCAUCCUGCCUCUCUCCCUCUCAGGAGUGUUGCCUGGAUGUCUCACUGUCUCACAACUCCCAUAGGGUACAGCCCUCCAAAUACAGUCUGCACCAUGUCAACAAAAUCCUGCGUGCCAAGAAGCUGCAGAGACAGGCCCGUACAGGAAACAACAUGGUAAAGAAGAGGGGGCCUGGACGUCCUAGGAAACACCCGUUACCCUCCCCACCACCGUCCCCUCCACCUGUGGUAGAGUUGAAUCAAGUCCGGCACCGGGAGAAAGGGGUGGAACGGUUAGCAGAGGGAAGAGGGUGGGAGGGUGAUACUGUGACUGAUGCUAUUGAGUCGGUAGUCCAGGGGCAACGCAGAAAAGGUCAGAAGCGAAAGCACUGGGAGAGAGAAGGGGAUGAGGAAGAGGAGGAGGAUGUGGAAGAGGACAGGGAGGCUGAAGACAUGGAGGGACACUUGCCUGAAAGAGAGGAAAACCUAGGGAGCCUUGUGGCAAGGUCCAGACCUGGGACAGGAAGGAGUUGGCUUACCCAAGAUGAGCUACAGAGCCUUCAUGGCUCAGUGGAAACCAAGCCAGAUGGUCACUGCUCAUCAGAGGGCCCAGGCCCUGUCUCCAGGGAACAAGCUCCACCUAUGCCCAUAGCCACCCAGCGAGAGAAAAGACCAGCACGACCUCCGAAGAAGAAGUUCCAGAAAGCGGGGUUAUAUUCUGAUGUGUACAAAACUGAAGACCCCCGUAGUCAGCUUCUGCAGCUGAAGAAAGAGAAGCUAGAGUAUAUACCCGGGGAACAUGAGUAUGGAUUGUUUCCUGCUCCAAUACAUGUUGGAAAGUACCUGAGACAGAAACGCAUUGACUUCCAGUUGCCUUACGACAUCCUAUGGUUGUGGAAACAUGAUCAGCUACACAAGAGGCCUGAUGUCCCCCUUUAUAAAAAAAUAAGAUCAAAUGUUUAUGUGGAUGUGAAGCCUCUCUCUGGUUAUGAAACAACUACAUGCAACUGUAGACUUCCCGAAGACUCAACUGAAAAAGGCUGCAUGGAUGAAUGCCUGAAUAGGAUGAGCUUUGCUGAGUGUUCUCCCAGCACCUGUCCAUGUGGAGAUCAUUGUGACAACCAGCAUAUCCAGAGACACGAGUGGGUCCAGUGUCUGGAGCGUUUCCGCACUGAGGGCAAAGGGUGGGGCAUCCGCACCAAGGAGUCUCUCCGCUCAGGACAGUUCAUCAUUGAGUAUUUGGGUGAAGUUGUUAGCGAACAGGAGUUCAGGAGUCGCAUGAUGGAACAGUACUUCUCCCACAGUGGCCACUACUGCCUGAACCUGGAUAGUGGCAUGGUGAUUGAUAGCUACAGAAUGGGCAAUGAGGCGCGUUUCAUAAACCACAGCUGUGAACCCAACUGUGAGAUGCAGAAGUGGUCAGUGAACGGGGUGUACAGAAUAGGUCUCUUUGCUCGCAGAGACAUCAGCAGCGGCACUGAGCUCACCUACGACUACAACUUCCGUUCCUUCAAUACAGAAGAGCAGCAAGCUUGCAAGUGUGGCUCAGAGGGCUGCCGGGGCAUCAUCGGAGGGAAGAGCCAGCGUAUUAAUGGGUUGCCUGGGAAAUCAGGAGGGACUCGGCGGCUCGGUCGACUCAAGGAGAAGAGGAAGUCCAAACACCAGCUCAAGAAACGAGAGGAAGAGUCAAGUGACAGCAGCAAGUUUUACCCUCAUCUGAUGAAGCCCAUGUCCAACAGAGAGAGAAACUUUGUGUUGAAGCAUCGAGUGUUUCUCUUGAGGAACUGGGAGAAGAUGAGGGAGAAACAGGAGCUGCUGAAAAGAGAGGGCGAGAGAGAGAGGGAUGCCAGCAGCCUGUCCAUGUAUACGCGCUGGGGAGGAGUCAUCCGUGAUGAUGGCAACAUCAAGUCAGACGUGUUCCUGACGCAGUUCUCAGCCCUGCAGACGUCACGGUCGGUACGCACACGAAGGCUAGCUGCAGCCGAGGAAAACACAGAAGUAACACGCACCGCUCGCCUUGCUCACAUCUUCAAGGAGAUUUGUGAUAUGAUAACCAGCUACAAGGACUCCGCUGGUCAGACACUUGCUGCCCCGCUGGUGAACCUCCCAUCUCGAAAGAGGAACAGCCAGUACUAUGAGAAGGUGUCUGACCCGCUGGACCUGAGCACCAUUGAGAAGCAAAUCCUCACGGGCCAUUAUAAGACGGUUGAAGCAUUUGACACAGACAUGCUCAAAGUAUUUCGCAAUGCUGAGAAAUAUUAUGGGAAGAAGUCAUCGAUAGGCAGAGAUGUCUGUCGGCUGCGGAAAGCCUACUACAGUGCUCGUAAUGAAGCUGCAGUCCAGAUUGAUGAGAUUGUGGGCGAGACCGCCAGCGAGGCAGACAGCUCAGACUCACUGGACCGUGACCACGGUCAUCACCACCACACAGGAGGGCCUGGGUCUCACGACAAGGAUGACGAUGUCAUCCGUUGCAUCUGUGGAAUGUACAAGGAUGAAGGCCUGAUGAUUCAAUGUGAAAAGUGUAUGGUGUGGCAGCACUUUGACUGUAUGCGACUGGAAACUGAGGUGGAGCACUAUCUGUGUGAACAGUGCGAUCCCCGGCCUGUAGAUAGGGAAGUCCCCAUGAUACCCCAGCCCAGCUACGCCCAGGCUGGCUCUGUCUACUAUAUCUGUCUCCUUAGAGAUGACCUGCUGCUACACCAAGGUGACUGUGUGUAUCUGAUGAGAGACAGCAGACGCUCACCUGAGGGUCAGCCUGUCAGACAGUCUUACCGUCUCUUGUCUCACAUCAACCGAGACAAACUCGACAUCUUCCGAAUUGAGAAGCUGUGGAAGAACGAAAAGGGUGAGCGAUUUGCCUUUGGCCACCACUACUUCCGUCCUCACGAGACACACCAUUCUCCAUCGCGGCGAUUCUACCAGAACGAGUUAUUCCGCAUGCCGCUCUAUGAGAUCAUCCCCCUGGAGGCGGUGGUGGGAACCUGCUGUGUUCUCGACCUUUAUACUUACUGCAAAGGACGGCCAAAGGGUGUGAAAGAGCAGGAUGUGUACAUCUGUGAUUACCGCUUGGACAAGUCGGCCCAUCUGUUCUACAAGAUCCAUCGCAACCGUUUUCCGGUCUGCACCAAGCCAUAUGCCUUCAACCACUUCCCCAAGCGGCUUACGCCCAAAAGAGACUUCUCGCCUCAUUAUGUUCCUGACAACUAUAAGAGGAACGGCGGCCGAUCAGCCUGGAAAAGCGAACGACCCAAAGAAGCUGGAGGCUGUGAGGACGAUGCCUCUUCUUGUGACCGGGGUGAAGAUUUCCCACCUGAGGGAGAAGAUGGAAGAGGAGUGGAAGACGACAUGGACAUGGCUUCAGAAGAUUCCGCACUUCUUUCAGCCAAGCCUAGAAGACCAGAACGGGAAAGGGAGACAGGAGAAGAGGAGGACGAGGAGGAUGGACAGGAAGCCGAUGAGCGCAAGGGGCUGGAGGAACGUUCAGCCGAGAGGAUUGGAGAGUUGCUUGAAGUUCCGUCAUCCUCGACUUCAUCGCCACUACACCACCCAGCUCUGGGCAGGAGGGAGGCCCAGCGGGAACGACUGAACAAGAUCCUGCUGGAUCUGCUGCACAGAACACCUAGCAAGAACGGUGAGGGACUGGGAACAAAGGAGGGGGGUAGGUCAACAGAUAAAUGAGGGUUAAAGUUUAAGGUCACUUUGCUGUGACACGUCAUUUGAACGUGUUGGAUCAUUUUUUUAAAACUACUACUAUUUCUGAAAGAAUAAGCUUGAAGUUGGGGCAAGAAUCUGUCCAUAAGAAGCAUAGGAUGAAGAGGAGAUCAUAUUUAUGUUCUAUUUUAUGUCACCUAAAAAUAUCAAAAUUUAGACCAACGCUUCAAGGAGAAUUCCCAUUUACCUCAACCCGGCAAAUUUACCAUUAAUAUGGCUGUAGUGGCUUGAAGGGUCAUGCUCACUUUGCGAUCAUCACCUUUUUUUUUAAAAGUUUUUAAUCUGAACAGCAUUUAUUUGGGCGACAAGCAUGAACUGCCUACAGUUUACCACAAAAGAUAUAUAUAUUUUUUAUUUUUUACAUCAAUUAAUUUUAAUCAUUUUUCAGUCUGACCGAAUGUUGCCUGGAACGGGCAUUGUACUAACCGCAUUAGGAAUCUUCAUUCUGGGAUACUUGCCGACUGACCAAAUCACUGGCAUACUCAUCAUCACAUGUGUGUAGCUGACUUACACUGUGUUUAUACUGUCUUCUGAGGAGAGUCGGCAGUUAAAUGCAAUGGCGGAUUUACCCCAUGGACCAUUUUGAGGGCGAGAGGCUGUAUCAGCUCGCUUGUCAGUAUUGAUUUUACCCAGAGUAAGCAGAUGGAUGAGGAGCUUAAACGUAAAGAAGGAAAGACAGUACUCUGAAGAUGGUGGCAGAGGCAACCUACCUCGGGAAACCGGUGGUGUUCCUGUCCUCACUGCUCUGCUAAUGCCGACUGCUGCAAAGAAGGGGGCCUUUGAAUGUGUCGAGCUGUGGAAUUACAAUUCAUGAAUUGAAAGCUUUGAAAACAUUGCCAUCCCUGAGAUGGUGUUUCAUCAACAAAAGACCAAGACUGGCCGGACUGAACUCUCAGCUUCCCAUUUGGCAACCAUUGAUGUCACUUAUCUCCUUGAGGAAGGCGCAGGGCGGCGCCUGCGGCGGCGGGCGCUCGGAUUCAGCGAUUUUGUAGGCAGAAAAUAAUGUUUCUACGUGCCUGUCAAGCACACUGCCUUUCACUGUCAUGAGCAAGGGGCAGAAAAUGGAGAGACAGCAAGAAGGGAAAUGAGCAUUGUUGGUUUUCCAGCCAUUAAGGACCACAAUGCAUCCCUGGGGGCCUCUUCCAGUUUACCUCUUCCAAGACUGUCGUCUCAGCUCUGAGAGGGGUGGAUGGUGUUUGGAAGCACUGACUUCAGGAGCUCUCAAGGAGCACAAAGAGAGAGCUGACCCAGGCUUCUUGCUUAUUUAAGUAGUAUGAUGCAAAAACUUUCUUUUUAAAAAAAGAAAAAAAAGAAAAGAAAAAUAAAACAAACAUAGGAGUUGUAACCCAUGCACUUAAAUGCAUCGAACAUUGAAACCAUGGGUAGAUGAAUUCCACUAGCAAGCAUCUGUAAUGAAAUAAGUGGUACUGAAUAAGGAUGGAUGGGGGGGAGGGAUGGAUUAAUGAUUCAGUUUGUGGGGGGGGGUAUGAGUGCUGGAGAAUUGUUCCCCCUAGUGGAACCUAGCUGCAAUGAAACAAAUGUAAGGGAUGAGAGAAGAACUGCCCAGGGGCUGUGGGGUGGGGGUAGGAAUGGCAUAGGAGAAAUGUAAAGUUGAGCGGUGUGCUCAGAUGCUGCUCAUGAGAAAGAGAGAACAAGGGUGGUGAACUGCACUUUUGGUACCAUGGAUAUUGUGAAGCUCUCUGUAAUGUAUCUAUAAUGAAAACACACUAACACUCUCACAGUAUUGGAUGAUGCAGUCUGGAAGAAAA
Molecule: RNA transcript, 11229 nt
Organism: Neolamprologus brichardi
Lineage: Eukaryota; Metazoa; Chordata; Actinopteri; Cichliformes; Cichlidae
Gene: ash1l
Gene name: ASH1 like histone lysine methyltransferase
Source: RefSeq, a predicted model, not a curated record